UACGUAGGGUCCGAGCGUUGUCCGGAAUUACUGGGCGUAAAGAGCUCGUAGGUGGUUUGUCGCGUUGUCCGUGAAAACUCACAGCUUAACUGUGGGCGUGCGGGCGAUACGGGCAGACUGGAGUACUGCAGGGGAGACUGGAAUUCCUGGUGUAGCGGUGGAAUGCGCAGAUAUCAGGAGGAACACCGGUGGCGAAGGCGGGUCUCUGGGCAGUAACUGACGCUGAGGAGCGAAAGCGUGGGGAGCGAACAGG
Molecule: ribosomal RNA, 253 nt
Filed under: uncultured bacterium
Lineage: Bacteria
Description: partial 16S ribosomal RNA
Rfam family: Bacterial small subunit ribosomal RNA
Source: RNAcentral